CGCCCCAUCCCCGCCCCGCGCGUUGCCAGGGUAAUCAGGUGACUCCCGGCUUGCGGCGCUCGGGGCGGCUGUGACGUCAGGCGCGCGGCAGCUCCUCACUCGCUGAGAGGCAGGUGCGGGAGAGUGUAGUGCGGUCUCGCCCGGUCUCCUCAGGUCGUAGCCCGACCACUACGCAGCCGGCUCCGGGGAGAAGAGGUGUACUUUGCAGGGCCUGAUGAACCCAGAGAACCCUCCACCAUAUCCGGGCCCUGGUCCAACGGCCCCAUACCCACCUUAUCCACAACCAAUGGGUCCAGGACCUAUGGGGGGGCCCUACCCACCACCUCAAGGGUACCCCUACCAAGGAUACCCACAGUAUGGCUGGCAGGGCGGACCUCAGGAGCCUCCUAAAACCACAGUGUAUGUGGUGGAAGACCAAAGAAGGGACGACCUGGGACCAUCCACCUGCCUCACAGCCUGCUGGACUGCUCUCUGUUGCUGCUGUCUCUGGGACAUGCUCACCUGACCAGCCCAGCCAGCCAUCCUGUCCUGCCAGCUCUGCUGUCACCUCUGAUAGGUGUGCCUGUGCCCAUCUCUUCUGAUUGCUGUAAUAAAUGACUAGCUCUGCAGACACCUCUACCUUCAACACUGUGGGAUUCUAGAUUAGUGGGAGCUGCUGCUGUUUAAUUCAGUGACUUGAUCUUUUUAAUGUUCAAAAUCCAUUUCUUAUUGAUCUUUAACAAUGUGCUAAAUGACUCUUUUUGGCCAAAGGCUUAGUUAUAAAAUAUGUAUUUAUAAUUUUAAAAUUAUACAUUCAAGGUAAUGGCAAAGUGUAACACACCGUGAGAUGAUUUCUCUGCUAACACCCUGUACGUUUCAGUAAACUUGUCCAAACCUCAA
RNA transcript from Carlito syrichta (Philippine tarsier), 879 nucleotides. It is a transcript of the gene named cysteine rich transmembrane module containing 1, with no coding region annotated. The transcript has 3 exons. NCBI's taxonomy places the organism in Eukaryota, Metazoa, Chordata, Mammalia, Primates, Tarsiidae. The record is from RefSeq and is a predicted model, not a curated record.